Molecule: long non-coding RNA, 287 nt
Organism: Alligator sinensis (Chinese alligator)
Lineage: Eukaryota; Metazoa; Chordata; Crocodylia; Alligatoridae
Exons: 3
Source: RefSeq, a predicted model, not a curated record
GCAUUCGGUCCAUACAUGCCAUAGGUGGGAUUUACCUGCAGGGUUAUACUGUGAGCGAACAGUCUCUGGGCUCCAGGAGAUCUGUAAUUGAAAUGAAACCUCCCUCCGAAGAAUUUAAAACCUUCCACCUAUGUGCAGAGAACGUAAAUGAAAACAAACGAUGGGUUACAGCUUUGAAAGCCUCUAUUAACAAAUGGUUGCCCCUACACCAGGCCAUUCAAGACUUUAUGAAUCGACCACUGGAGGAGACAAGGAUGUGAUGAAAAAUCUGAUUUUUCUUAUUUCCA